ACGGUAACAGGUCCAGCAAUGGAUGCUGACGAGUGGCGCACGGGUGCGUAACACGUAUGCAACCUACCCUUAACCGGGACAUAACCCUUAGAAAUGGGGGCUAAUAUCCCAUGGUAUUAUGAUAAGGCAUCUUAUUAUAAUUAAAGAUUAAUUGGUUAAGGAUGGGCAUGCGUCCCAUUAGUUAGUUGGAGAGGUAACGGCUCACCAAGACUGUGAUGGGUAGGGGUCCUGAGAGGGUUAUCCCCCACACUGGUACUGAGACACGGACCAGACUCCUACGGGAGGCAGCAGUAAGGAAUAUUGGGCAAUGGAGGCAACUCUGACCCAGCCAUGCCGCGUGCAGGAAGACGGCCCUAUGGGUUGUAAACUGCUUUUAUACGGGAAUAAUUCCAUUUACGAGUUAGGUGGUUGCAAGUACCGUAAGAAUAAGCAUCGGCUAACUCCGUGCCAGCAGCCGCGGUAAUACGGAGGAUCCGAGCGUUAUCCGGAUUUACUGGGUUUAAAGGGUGCGUAGGCGGGCGCCUAAGUCAGCGGUGAAAUGCGGGGGCUCAACCCUCGAGCUGCCGUUGAUACUGGGGGCCUUGAAUCCGGUCGAGGCCGGCGGAAUGCGUGGUGUAGCGGUGAAAUGCUUAGAUAUCACGCGGAACGCCGAUUGCGAAGGCAGCUGGCCGGGCCUGGAUUGACGCUGAGGCACGAAAGCGUGGGGAUCAAACAGGAUUAGAUACCCUGGUAGUCCACGCCGUAAACGAUGAUCACUGGAUGCUGGCGAUACACAGUCAGCGUCUGAGCGAAAGCAUUAAGUGAUCCACCUGGGGAGUACGACCGCAAGGUUGAAACUCAAAGGAAUUGACGGGGGCCCGCACAAGCGGAGGAACAUGUGGUUUAAUUCGAUGAUACGCGAGGAACCUUACCUGGGCUAGAACGCCGGGCGCAUGGGGGGGGAAACCCCCCCAGCCAGCGAUUGGCGGCCGGCCAAGGUGCUU
RNAcentral lists this ribosomal RNA (983 nucleotides) under uncultured bacterium. RNAcentral describes it as "bacterial SSU rRNA". It matches the Rfam family "Bacterial small subunit ribosomal RNA", at positions 66 to 1043 of the family's 1533-position model. The record is from RNAcentral.